This 316-nucleotide ribosomal RNA is filed under the name uncultured bacterium. Its description in RNAcentral is "bacterial SSU rRNA". It matches the Rfam family "Bacterial small subunit ribosomal RNA", at positions 32 to 337 of the family's 1533-position model. The record is from RNAcentral.
AAUCAACGCUGGCGGCGUGCCUCAGACAUGCAAGUCGAACGCGAAAGUCCCCUUCGGGGGAGUGAUUAGAGUGGCGCACGGGUGAGUAACACGUAGGUAAUCUACCUUCGAGUGGGGAAGUAACUCAGGGAAACUUGAGCUAAUACCGCAUAAUGCAGCGGCACCACAUGGUGACAGUUGUUAAAGCAUUUAUGCGUUUGAAGAGGAGCCUGCGGCAGAUUAGCUAGUUGGUAAGGUAAUGGCUUACCAAGGCUACGAUCUGUAACCGGCCUGAGAGGGCGGACGGUCACACUGACACUGAAUAACGGGUCAGACU